Molecule: long non-coding RNA, 849 nt
Organism: Trichoplusia ni (cabbage looper)
Lineage: Eukaryota; Metazoa; Arthropoda; Insecta; Lepidoptera; Noctuidae
Exons: 3
Source: RefSeq, a predicted model, not a curated record
UAGGCUUUAUUUUAAUAACAUUGAUGUGGAACUCUAAAAAUAUACUACAAGUACAGCUAAUUACAAUGUUUUGCAAAAACGAAUACCGAAAUUAUCAUCAAUUUGCAGUUCAUAACCUUGUCGGGUUGAUAACAAAACAAACUCUUUUUAAUAACUUGGAGUUGAUAAACAAUAUAAUAUAAUAGAUCAUUAAUUAAAGAUUCAAUGUCCAGAGAAACAAUUGCAAACUUUUGAUAAAAAACAUUAUAAAUAGUCGUGUAUUCUGGUUUUUUUUUAUGUAGAUGACUGAAGAUGUUUCGUUGUAUCGUAUUGGCGACUUUUUUUCUUUUUGCUCAUUUAAUGGCUGCCCCAGGGAUUUCUGGAGAAAAUCAUGGCAAUGCCUUCGCGUCACAUGGGAGCAUCAGUGUUGGCGUUAUAUCUGGGACAGAAUUUGGCGAGAACAGCUUCGUGAUAGAAACCGUGCCAGUUCCUCAUAAGUGCGGUUUAAUAGAUGGAUUCUUCUCAACCUUUAUCCCAACAAUAAAAUGCUGACAAACAUACUUCGAAAUGUGGAUGCUGAACCAGCAAUAAUCAUGUGCUCCUAAACUUGGAUUUUUAGUUGUGCGAGCAGGACAACGCUAGGCGCAGUGUGGUGCGACAUCUCGUUUCUGCAAGUCUUCCUUUAAUAACUCAUAAUACAGCCAGUGAAUUCUACAAUUUUUAUUUUACUAUCACACUAUCAUAAGUUAAAAAUAAAGAAGAUAUUUUUAUCCUAAGAUUUUUAUUUUUAACAGUAUAUAAAUAGCAACUAGACUUGAGCAGCAUAUCUUAUUUUUAUUUGUCAUCCUAAAUAAUAUAAUAAACGCAAGU